RNAcentral lists this ribosomal RNA (253 nucleotides) under uncultured bacterium. RNAcentral's name for it is "partial 16S ribosomal RNA". It matches the Rfam family "Bacterial small subunit ribosomal RNA", at positions 524 to 776 of the family's 1533-position model. The record is from RNAcentral.
UACGUAGGGGGCUAGCGUUGUCCGGAAUCAUUGGGCGUAAAGAGCGCGUAGGCGGCCAGAUAAGUCCGGUGUGAAAGUCAAAGGCUCAACCUUUGAAUGCCGCUGGAAACUGUCUGGCUAGAGUCCGGGAGGGGCGAGUGGAAUUCCCGGUGUAGUGGUGGAAUGCGUAGAUAUCGGGAGGAACACCAGUGGCGAAGGCGGUUGCCUGGAGCUUUGCUGACGCUGAUGCGCGAAAGCGUGGGGAGCGAUCCGG